AAGGAGGAUAGGAUACGUGGAUCGUAAGCGCUAACAAACUAUUCCAAAAAUACGUACUGAUAAAAAGGAUGCACUCAUUAUACUUAGGGACUCAGUCACAGUGCUCGCAGACUUCAACCUAAUUCAAUCCUUCUGAACAUUAGGUCUAUUGUUUAGUCUUUUACCGUUAUGUUUCUUGUGAGCCGUACUUCCACUUAACUUACUAGACUUACCGAACUUAACUUAUUAAUUUUUUAAAUUUAUUACUUAUCAUGGAGCAGAAUGUUGGACAUAUUUUAGUCCAAUAUUAAAU
This 292-nucleotide long non-coding RNA is filed under the name Ananas comosus (pineapple). Its description in RNAcentral is "long non-coding RNA (ACOM_LNC012727)". Lineage: Eukaryota; Viridiplantae; Streptophyta; Magnoliopsida; Poales; Bromeliaceae. The record is from RNAcentral.